This is a long non-coding RNA of Hemicordylus capensis (graceful crag lizard), 7078 nucleotides long. RefSeq lists it as uncharacterized. The transcript has 3 exons. The record is from RefSeq and is a predicted model, not a curated record. Lineage: Eukaryota; Metazoa; Chordata; Lepidosauria; Squamata; Cordylidae.
UGUCUGUCUGUGUGAAUGGAUGCCUAGCACUGUCUCUGUGUGUGGAUGCUUUCUGUGUGUAGUGUGGUGUGUGUCUGUCUACAUGUUUUUUUUCCUCCCCCCCAUGCCUCCCUCCAUCCUUCCCCUCUCAUCCUCUCCCCUUCCUCUUCACCACCUUCCAUCCUCCCUCCCUUCCAGCCCACCACCGCCUCACCUGCCCCCAACCCCGGUCUGGCAGAUGAUGAGAGUCUGGUCUCUCCCACCGAAGCACACACGUGAGCACGUGUGUGCACAAAUAUGUGGCUGACCAACUCUGAGCCGGACCCUCCCCCCUUCAAUCCCCUCUACAUCCCUCUCCCCCUCCCCUUUCCUCCCCCCUGCCUCCCAGCCUCCCUCCCUGCCUCCCUCCCCCCUCCUAGCUAGCAGCGCACACAUACACACACAAAACACCUGUGGUGGCAAACACCACCAGCACACAUGCACUCACACUGGUGCCACCACCUCUGCCUUGGGCCUCUGUGUCCUUGAGCAGAUAUGUGGUGGUGGACCAGAGAAGCAUUUCUUUCCAGCAAGGCAAAAGGCAUGCACUCACUGCACACACACACACACACACACGAAGAGGUGAAGACGAGAAGAGGCAACUUCUAGAACCAGCAGCAGCAGAAAGGAAAAGAAAAUCAACUUGCCAUUUCUUCUUUGGCUACUGCCCUUCUUGCACACGUGAUAUCGGCAACAUAGAGGUCAGAUGUGAUUGAAUGUUCUGGAGCCCUGAGGGCAGUGGUAUCAUGGCUUAAGACUAACUGUAAGCCACAGCCUCCGACCUAAGGAAAAGGUAUUCUACAGCAUGCACUCUACUACUAAAGGGAGGGACAUGGUUCAGUGACAGAACACCUGUUUUGACUACAGUUCUCGGAGUCUUCAGGGACCAUGCCUUGCUCAAAUUAAGCCCUGUCUGAGAACAAAUCCACACAGACAAGCUUUUCACAUUCUGGUUGCUACUAAAGCCUCAAGCUGACUGGACUAUCUCCAGAACAGCUUUUUCUUCACAUGUAAUUCAAGGCCAAAGUAGACGUGAUGCAGGAGUUCUGCAACUGGAACUCCAGAUGACUUUUUCUCUUUCAAAAAGCAACUGCCAAGAGAGUGAUUUGGAGCAGAGCUGUGGCAAGGUGGGACAAACUGUUAGGCGACCCCUUGUGCAGUUCUGUUCCAAAUCACGCCACCCACCCAAUUGUGGCUUUUUGAAAAAGAUGUUAGGAUUCCUGUCCUUCCAAAGCCUUGCCUGUGCAAGAGAGGAAAUGCUCACUUGUCUCAUUAGAAACCAUCCCAAACAAGCUCAGCCCAAAUCUGAUCAAGCAACAGUUACAUGAAUGCCAAGUGAAAGAACAGCUGCCAAUGUAGCAUCUCCAGCUAUUCUAGCUUCUAGACAGACACCACUUAAUCACACUCAGCAGUCAGUGAGUCAUUGAACAGACUGGCCCUGCUAUGCAAACAAUACCCAUUGCAGAUACAAUAUCCUCAGCAAAUUGCCUGCUGAAAGUGGGGAAAACCCUGAGAAAUUUUGCUACUCUUAUAGAAAUGUUUUCUUCCCUCAGAACUCCUCAGACAGUUUCUCCCAGAAAAGUUCACUUUCAAGAAAUACGGUGGCCAAGGUCAACUCCAGGUCUGGGGGUGGCCUCAACACAAAGGAGGAUUUUCUGAAAGUGGGUGGAGUAUACAAGUACUGUCCACUGUAACCUACCGCAGGCAACGGUCCAUUGACUCUGGGUGUACUGUCUAUUUGAAUUAUGUUUGUGAUUUUUAUAGUUUGUCUAAUCUACAUUUGCAAUUGCUGUUUUGAAGUUGAUAAGAUAGAAAUAAACUUUUAAACUUUAUUUCUUGAGUUCCUGAAGCAGUGGCCAAUUCCAUCCCAACAGCCAAGGUCUGGUCAGACAAGGCUGAGAUGGAAAAUUAACUUCAAUAAAUAUAUUAAACUAAAUUCCUACAUCUGCAUUUAGGGAAAGAAUUACUUUGGAUAGAUUGAAUGUGAAGAAUCAAUGCCCCGAAAGGUUCCCAAGCAGCCGAGAGAGUCCUUGAGUCAAAAUCAAGGCUCGCCAUGCUCAAGGAGGGAGGGGUCUCUAAAGUUUACAAUAUUCAUCCCCAUAGAAGUGAAGCAUUCCCCAUUCCUCAAGUUGUGUGUCAAAGUCAGAAUCAGCACAUAAAUGAUUCGGGUCCAGACAGAGCGGAAAUAAGAUGGGGAAAUGAACACAGAGAUGAAAAAGAAACGACAACCCUGCUACACUUAACGCAAACAUGGAGCAACCAAGAGCUGAUAAUGUCAAGAGAGUAGCAGGUCCAGGGGAGUGAGGGGAGGGGACCCUGAAGACCUGGUACUCUCCACACUGUGACCCCACCUCCCCAAUACCUUACCACAGCAAUGGCCUUGGGGCCCUCGGCGACACUCUGGUUGAGAGCAAGACCAGCAGUAGCCGGGCGGCUGGGCGGAGUGGAUGGCAGCUGCUGCUGCUGCUUCCUCAUGGCUAUCCCCAUGGUAUCCAGGCUCUGGCUACGGCCCCGGAUCACCCGCUGGAGAGAGGGCAACAGGGAGACAGACACAGACAGGUUCACAGACACACAGAAGGACAUCAUGAAGAGCACCACAAGACAGCGGAGGGUAGUGGGGAGGGAGGCCAAGGGAACUAAGGUUACAUCGCCAAGACUCUCCCGGGCUCAGGCAGAGAAGGUACUGCUUUCUGAACCUCCUUGGACAGAAGCUACUUGGACUGAUCUAAUCCAGAUCAUCCUUAGCAGUGUUGCCAUAGUCUUUGCUCUCAGUCUCCUGCAAAUAAGAGAUACUCACCAACAUAAUUCCAAUUCUCCAAUAACCCAACAUCUUCCACUGCUAUCUAGAGCCACCAGCACCAGUUGAGAGAGUAGGCUCUCAUUACUAUAAUGAAGAUAUUCCAUCAAAAAUAGAAUCAAGGUUUUCCAUCUAGAGUCAAAAAGGUGAUGACUUCCCAGGGCAUCCUUCACACAGCAAGCUUGACUGCAAACUCCAAGUUGUUCCAAAAAACUGAUACAAAAAGUGGAUUUUUUAAGCUGGGAUAUAAAUUGGGCUGCACUCUAAUACACAGUGAAAACCCCGAAUUGUGUGUGAAGUGCUCCCUGAUAGCUUGUAGGGAGUUUGGGAUAAAUCUGCCCGAUAUGUGAACGCACACCCUCCAUUCUGGAGGAGAUGUGCGUUCAGCUACAGGGCUUUAAAAGCCCUGUGUGAAAAAUGCCCAGGCCCCUCAGAAUCGUUCUACAUGACCUGGUCAGAUAAAGCAGAAUGAAGUAGUGGGCUGCAGAUGGAGCAAUCACAUUGUUGAACGCGCAGUGUAGCAGAGAGUGCUUUUUACUUGCAGAAAGUUUGUUUAAGGUGAAGGAGGAUUCAAAAAUCGCAUCUUGCAGCCUCAAGUUGUACAGGCCCAAGUCUUUCAGCCUUCUAAGUAGAGAGAACCCCUACCUUCUGAGAAAUUUAAGUAGAACCUCAAUUUUCCAGUUGAUUUUAUAUUCACAAUAACAGGUGCCAUAUGAUGAAAGAAGGGUUGCGUGUAUAAGGCUGUGAUAUAACAGAUGUCUCAUCUAAUAUGGGCAGGGUUGCCAGUUUUUACACUGGGCUGCACAACUGGAAUAUGAACCAGGCUAGAGAUGAUGUUGGUCAAAGCUUGGAGGGCAGAACCCAGUACUGUGCAAAGCACAGUGUGCCAGAUUAUUGCUGGGAAAUAUGAAGUGUUGUGUAUGGCAUGGUGUGCCAGUUUUUCUGCCCUCUAAGAGAAGGAAGGUGCACAACAGGAAAACAGGAAGAGAGCAAAAGAUAGGAGAAGAGAAAGCGAGACUAAUUCUAGGCAAAAAACAGCAGCAAAGACUGAGCAGCAAAGGCAACUGGGCCCUCUCCUCUCUACCCUCCUUCUUGAGCUUCUUCCCCCCCUCUCCCCGUCCCAUACCCCUGCCUGUGUUUUGCGUACCUCUAGGGGUGUUGAGAAACAGGCAACUCUGUCAUCUCAGGAUUCUAUAUUCUGCUGGUUGUGGAAACCAGGCCCACACCAUGCAAAAUAAGGUGACAGAACUGAUGUGGCAGAAUUAUGCCACUUUAAACUGCAGGUGGAGGAUUGCAUGUCUGAAUGCGGCCCACCCCACAGCAAACAAAACAAAACCCGAACCAUGCAUGCACAAUUUUAGGAUAUAGGGCAGUAAAAGUAAAGUUCAGCACAACCCUUGCCCUGUGACUCUAGUAUACUAGAUAGAGGGAGGUGGUUCUGUUUUGUUAAGUGAAAAGUCAUUCAAAAGUUCACCUGCCACAGAAGUCAUGCAGUCCAGAAUCUUACCAGCUCUAGAGCCCUUUCCUGCUUGUACCCCAGUUCUAAGCACAUUUGUUGUUCAGUCUCCUUGCUUUGAAUGGAAUCUGCUUUCAAGUGAAAAUGCCCUUAAGACUGAAACUUUAGCCAUGGACUAUCAUGUACAGCACAAGCAGAAAGCAGAGUCAGUGAUUAUACAUAUGGGCCAUCAAUAAGCACCAGACCUGAGUAGGACAGAUCUUCUACAAAGGAGAGAAGAAUUCAGGAUGUGUCUAUAUUGCAAAAAGCCCCAAGACAUAGAGCACUAAACAGCGGCAGGUUACAGGAUGUGCUGUCGACUGCAGCACCUAUAUCACAAGAGCAGAUGUCACGAAGAGCUUGUGGCCAGCCUCCUUGGUUUUUGUCAGCCCUGAGUUUCGCUAAACAGGGUAGCCAGCUUGGGAACUAAUUUGGUGCCAUUGGGAAGAGGUGCCUCUUUCCUCAUAUAGACAUUUCACAUGUUACAGGAUCAAUAAUCUCAUGCACUGGACAGGUUCCAUUCUCACUCCAGGGGGGAAACAAUGACAUUUCUAAGGGUUCCCUGGGGAAAUGAAUAUCAAACCCAUUUAAGUCAGUGGCGUUGAUAUGGUCUGCCACUAGAUUCAGUGCCCCCGCAUUCCCCACACUCUACAGUGGUGCAUUCCAACAACUGAUACCCUGAAGGAGGGUAUUGAUUAUGUUUUUUUCCCUCUCCAGAUCAGAGGCAGGGAAAGAGUCCAUCAUAGAAAGAGACCCUUUGCCCUGAGCUGCUGCCCAUCCUCAUUUUCUUAGUGAAAAGCCAGUAAUGCAGAUUGCCUCAUUGAUUCUUGCCUGAUCCCUUUCCCUAGCUAGAGCUAAGUGGAAAUAUCAGCAUCUCCUGCAGAAGUACCACAGGGUCUGAUGGAGCUUGUUGAGGGGUUUAAAAUGCACUCUCUAGAUUAGGGCUGCAGCCUUCCAGCUGUUGGAGUACAACACUCAUCAUCCCUGACUACUGGCCACUGUGGCUAGGGAUGAUGGGAAUUGUAGUCCAACAGCAGCUGGAGGGCAGGAAGUUGUCUGGCCCUGGUCUAGAUAUGUGCUAUGGACACGCCUGCAGUCGGAGGGCCUACUCAGAGCGCCACAGUUCUGUGCAAAUACAGACAAGCUGCUGGUAUUGGCAGGAAUUCAGCAUCCUGAUCAUCUCUGAACAGAAAAGCAGGUUUCAGAGCCUUAGAGCUGGCCAGAUCAGUCAAGCAGGCAACACCUACUCAUGAGAUACCCAAAGCCAGGCUAGGUAGAGGGAACGGGGGCAGAGGUAUCAGUAGAAUGCUUGUGGGCUAGGAAAGGGGGCUCCAAUGCCUUGCAUGGCUCAGUGCUUCUAGCAAAAUCAGAACAAAAUUGUGCAGAAUACGGGAAUACAUACUUCACUUUUGCAAUGUACACAUAUUGCAUAAUAUGGGUUUCCUUAGGAUAGGACAUUUUUUGGCUUUUCUGUUGCAAAGUAUCUGCAUUCCUUCCUACAUCACUGUUUUCGGGAAGGGAUGAUUAUAACAUUGUGGGAAACAUAGCCAUUGGGUGACUGGGCUACAAGUCUUGCUGUAAGUUUGGUCAUCUUGAUUACUGUGUAUGGGUCUAUCCUCAUAAGAACAUAAGAACAGCCCUGCUGGAUCAAGCCCAAGGCCCCUAUCUAGUCCAGCAUCCUAUUCCACAGAGUGGCCCACCAAACACCUCUGAGAGGUCCACAGGCAAGAGAUGAAGGCAUGCCCUUUCUCCUUCUGUUGCUCCCCUGCAACUGGUAUUUAGAGGCAUUUUGCCUCUGAGGCUAGAGGUGGCUUAUAGCCCUCAGACCAGUAGCCGUCGAUAGCCCUCUCCUUCCUGGAUUUAUCUAAGCCCCUUUUAAAGCCAUCUAAGCUAGUGUCCAUCACCACAUCCCAUAGAUUAAUUAUGCGCUGUGUAAAAAAAAGCACCUCCUUUUGUUGGUCCUAAAUUUAUCAGCAUUCAGUUUCAUGGGAUGACCCCUCAUUCUAGUGCAGUGAGAGAGGGAUAAUUAUUAUUGUGUCUAACCAAGGAGUCAGGGAUCUAAACAGCAGAAGGAUGUUUAAUGUUCCAUCUGUAAGUCUCUCUCCAGUCCAUGGAAUGCAAUAGCCAUCAGAAUUGGAAAGGCGAUACCUUCUAACUGUUGGCAGGGCACAUGGAAAACAAUUUGGAACCAGUUUAUAGUUUGAAUCCAGGGCACUUUCCAGAUUAGACCCUGCACGGGGUCACGGCGUAUCUCUGAAGUGUGCUUCCACACUUCCUGCGUCGUGACACCGCAGUCCCUAUGCAGACAGCAGGGUGCUUGCCGUUCAUAUUUCCAGUGCCUUGUUUUGAAUUUAAUCACUGUGCAUAUCCGGUUUAAGAAAGUUGCUGUUUUUUCAGGUUGUUAGUUUCUGCAAGACUGCUCUCCCUGCUGUUUACGUUCCGAAUACAACUUGCUGAACAGAGGCAUUUUGCUGCUGUUGAGCAGCUAGUUUGGAAAGUGCCCAGGAGAAACAAGACGAUAAAUUGGCUGAAGCAUCUUUGGGACACACAUGCUCUCUCUGAGGUUCUGACUGAGGGUUACUAGAUCUGCUGUUGCUAUAAGAACAUUCGUUUGCUUUCAUAAUACUCUGCUUGCAUAUUUGCAAAUGAAGCAAUUGCUACCAAGACAAGAGAAGUCUCCUGUGUUCUUUUUCAUGCCAAGGAAAUUAAACCCUUUAGUGCUGCCCCUGAAACUCUGCACCUUUUGGGGGACUGCCAAAUGAUUGCCA